CCUCACCCAGUCUCCGCUGCUCUUAGCCCCCUCUCUCUCACAGGCACUCUCCCUCGCUCUCGCUUGGGCACACACGCACGCGCACACGCCGCCCCUGCUCCUCUCCACACAAGCCUUGCACACGCAAUACACCGCACUCAUCAUGCCGCCGAAGGCUCGUGCCCCUCUGCCGCCUGGCGACGUGGAGCGCGGCGAGAAGCUGUUCAAGGGCCGUGCUGCCCAGUGCCACACCGCCACCAAGGGCGGCGCGAACGGUGUGGGCCCGAACCUGUUCGGCAUCGUCCACCGCCCCUCCGGCAAGGUCGAGGGCUUCACGUACAGCAAGGCGAACGCCGAGUCAGGCGUAGUCUGGACGCCGGAAGUGCUGGACGUGUACCUGGAGAACCCGAAGAAGUUUAUGCCUGGCACGAAGAUGUCGUUUGCCGGCAUCAAGAAGCCGCAGGAGCGCGCUGACGUGAUCGCGUACCUCGAGACUCUCAAGUAAGACGAGGGCGCCGUCGCGCACGGUGUCGUUGGGUAACCCGCCUUCCGCUGGGUUUGUGUCUUAACGCCUACAGACACGGGCACAGGCACGCCUGCAUCACUCCCGCCGGUCCGUGAACGAGGCACUAACUAAAAUCGAAGAGGCGGUGCCUGCUUAACGAAGAGCGCUGCUCUGGUGACGGGCAGCGGGGGAAGAGAAAGGCACGAGAAGCGGAGAGUGAGGAAUGGGGCACAAGUGGAGGUUGAAGACGUCGGUUCGCGGCGAAUGCGCUGCCGAAAGGCCGUGAACGGGGGUGGGGGGGGGGGGCUCGGUGGCACAAAGGAGGAGGGGCGGAAGCAGCGAUGGUUGGGUCGGUAGGCGUGAGGUUUGACCGGGUUUACGGCGCGUGUGCUGUCAUUGCUGCAACAGGACUGUCGGCACCUCUCCGCGACCAUGUCCGCAUUCGCUUCUCUCUGUGCCUCGCCUUGCACACCCUCCUCCUUUCCUAUAAGCUGGCCCGUGUUCUGACCUCCCGUCGGCUCUUCCCCUAUCCGUGCCCGCCCUCCGCCCUCCCCCCACACCCACGUAGUACGGCUGUACUGCUUAGACUCAGUACUUUACCGUCGCCGAACCCAAAAAGGCGGAGAAGUCGUAAAGCGCCAAUACGAACGGGCCUUGCGCACACGCAACGCAUGACACCCACACAGAUUUCGAACUAGAAAAAUAUAGCAAAGAGAAAUAAGAAACACUGGCACACACACACACACACACGCACCUACGCAAGCACGCACUACGAUCGCGCGUCCAAGGUCCAUCACUUCCUCCCCUCCCCCUCCUCCUCUGCUCUCCACACACACCGAAAAGUCACCACAGCACGCGCAGACGCCCCUCGUUCAUGUGCCCCCUUUCCUUUUCCCUUUCGCGUUGCCCAUGGCGCCCCCUCCCCCCCCCUCCUUUUUUUUCGUCCAUUUCGGCUCAGCCUUUUCCCAGCCGCCGCCGAUCUCCAGACCCUGUCUCGGAUGGGCCGGCUCGUCUUCCUCGCGUGAUGGUGUGCCUCUCUCUCCCCUCCGCCCCUUCCCCCCACCAUGUGCGUGGCGUUCCCUUUCGCAGAGACGCGCGCACGCCGCAUGAUGGGGGGGGGAGGGGGGGAUGGAGAGCGGCGUGGUGGGGGCCGCUCGCUUUGCUUGCGCGUGCGCGUGUGCACCUCGCGUGUUACCCCCGCCUCUGCUGGCGUCUCUGCCUUUCGCUUUUCCUUUUUCCUUUCCUUUCGGGUGUGUAUGUUGUGGUGGUACGCGUGCCAUGACCCCUCCUCCGCCUCCUCCUCCUCCUCCUCCUCUCGCGCACCCUUCGAUAUCUGCCUAUCUCCGUUCCUCGUAUUCGCUGUUCUUUGUUUUCUUUCCUCUUAUGUAGUAACUAACCGACCAUGUCCCCUCCUCCAUCCCUCUCCCCCAUCUCGCCCCUCUCUCUCCCGGCCUUCCUCUGUUUGCCAGACAUCACCAGCCGAAGUAGGAUGCAUCUCAUCCUCUGUCGAUUCAGCCCUCCCCACCCCGACCUCACCUCUCCACCUAGAUCCCCAUGUGUGUGAGUGUGUGUGUCUCUGGGUGUCUCUCUAUCUCUCCUGCGAACACGCCCCACUCCCACCGAACCGCUUCCUGAAGCCGAGCAGCGGAGGCGGAGAGAGGCGGACGUGACGCACAUCGGUGCGUGGCGGGCACCCGUUCACGCAAACAGGCGCGUUGGUCAGCGAGUAGGAUGAAGCAACGAGUACAAGCUGACAAAACUGUAAUGCGAGAGGCUGCAGUGUGUGUGUGAUGCCGGCUUGAAGGCGGAGAAGGGGCGUGUGGGCACCGAGGAACGGCCAGGGUUCCUUCUUAUAGCUGUUACAGAUUUGUUUUAACUGUCCUUUUCGGGCACAAGAC
This 2382-nucleotide unclassified non-coding RNA is filed under the name Leishmania donovani. Its description in RNAcentral is "gene:LdHU3.16.1660(CDS-product:cytochrome_c_putat ive)". Lineage: Eukaryota; Euglenozoa; Kinetoplastea; Trypanosomatida; Trypanosomatidae. The record is from RNAcentral.